CAAAUCCUGCAUUUUCCACCUCCCUACCCACCCCUCUGUCUGUCCUGGCCCCUGUACUCCCGGUGGACACUUCCUAACCUCAGAGAGCCAGAGGGAUAGAAGAAUUCUGGUUUCCAUAGCAACACAGCCAGGUUCACAAGGCAACAAGGUCCCGCCUUUGCAGUCAGCUUAGUGUAACUGUCAGUGGCCCAGGCAAUUUCAAGUCAGCCUAUAAGGUUAAUUUGUCUGCAGUUUUCUCUGCACAAAAGCCCCCGGCAUGGAAGAAAGCCAAUGAAAUGGGAGCAGGAGUGAUAUGCAUCACAUCCAGACCCAGCAGAGGAAAUCCUCUCCUGCCCUAUUCUCCCUACACUUUUCCCUUUCUGGAUGACUGGAGCAGAAGUAACUCUGGGUGACCACAGCAGCCAUGAGUUGAAGAAGGAAGAACCCCAAGAUGAAAGGAACCUGGGCCCCUGAAUCAUCACGUGGAGAACUCCCCACCAAUUGGGAGUGCCCAUUUUGGACCUUGUAAAAGAGACCUGAAACUAAUUUCUGAGCCAUUACAGAUUUUUGGUGAGCUUGUUACAGCAGCUAGCAUUACUUUAAUUAACACAUUAUUCUUUUAAUACUUUCCAAUCUGAUAUGCAGACAUCUCACUCAUGCUUUAACUUGAAUCUCAUUGGUUUCUAGGGAGGUUAUAUAGCAGUUGAUAUAUAACUCAAAUAUUCUCCAGUCGUCUCCAUUUGGAGGGCAUGAGGAGGUCACUGUAUCAGCGCAAUCAGAAUUCCACUGCUCUCACCUGUAUGAAAUCAGGCCCUCGUCCCCACCACACACACACACACACACACUCACUCACUCACUCACUCACUCUCCUUGACAUUCCUCCACCCUCUCUGAGAUUCCCCAGAGCCUCUUGACAUCUGUGAAAUUAGUGGAUGUGAAUACAAAAGAAGAGGAGGAAGAAUGGUCUCUCACCUAUUUCUGCAAGCCAAGUAUGUUUCAGCCUCAGCUCUGACCCAGCUGGGACCACAGUCGCCCAAAACGUAUGGAUCACACGAGGGGGUUUUUCUAUGAAUUGUUAUCUGUCACACAAGAGCCCUUUUCUCCAGGCUAGAGUUCUUCUGACCAGUCAGAAUCUCCUACCUCCAACCCUCCGCCCCAGAUUCCUUUUGGUCUCUGACGAAAUGAGGGUCUUUCCUCUCUGGUCAGAUGGCCAGCUGCAGCAUGGGCUUCUGGUCCCAGAACACAAGCUAAUCCCCAGAGCAAUGCCUAUAGCUUACCCUGUGGAAGGGCUGGUCCGCGGCAAGCACAGGCCUCCAGCCUCCCCGGAGAACACCAGGCAGGAAGAGGAAAUCCAGAGAACUCAUCUCCGCGUCUAAGACUGAGGUUGUUGCGACUCCAUUGCCUUGCUUGGGUUGUACCCAGAACAAACAUGUAAGGAGCCACGUCAGUGGCCCCAGCGGGAGGAGUAGGGUGUAUCAAUCAGAGUCCCAACAGGAAACAAACUCACCCCAGAUGGUUCAAACAAAGAGACCUUAAUAAAGAGAGUCCUUCACAUCAGUACUUCAUUCGUUCUUAUGGCUGAAUAAUAUUCUACUGUGUGGGUAUACCACAAUCUCCAUAAUUCUUAGCUCCGUAAGCGAGUGAUUCUCAAAAUGCAGUCUCCAGACCAGCAGCAGCCGCAAUCCCUGGGCACCUAUCGGAAAUGCAAAUUCUUGGGCUCACUCACCCUAUCAAGGAAGCCCAGCAAUCUGGUUUUUAACAAGCCCUCCAGGUGAUUCUGAUGCAUGCUCCAUUAUGAGGCACAGGUGAACCCUGAAAACAUUAUGCUAAGUGAAAGAACCAGAUGCAAAAAGUCACAUAUCGUAUGAGUCCUUUUAUAUGAAAUAUCCAGAAUAGGAAAAUCUGUAGAGACAGACAGCAUGUUAGUGGUUACCAGGAGAUGGGGAAAGAUGGAAAUGGGGGGUGGUUACUUAAUGGGUACAGGGCAUACUUUUGGGGCGAUGAAAAAGUUUUGAAACUAGAAAGAGGUGGCAUUUGCACAACAUUGUGAAUGCACUAAAUGUCCCUGAAUUUUACACUUUUUUUCAGUUAACAUUCUUUUUCUAAAAAAAUUAUUUUAUUGAGGUCAUAUUGGCUUAUAACAUUGUAUAAAUGUCAGGUG
Long non-coding RNA from Equus caballus (horse), 2140 nucleotides. NCBI's taxonomy places the organism in Eukaryota, Metazoa, Chordata, Mammalia, Perissodactyla, Equidae. The record is from Ensembl.